GGGUAGUUGAAGGGAAUGGCAUACCUUUCACGCUUAGAACGUGAAGUUUCUGAGUUCGAGUCUCAGACUACCUA
Molecule: transfer RNA, 74 nt
Filed under: Acinetobacter phage YMC13/03/R2096
Lineage: Duplodnaviria; Heunggongvirae; Uroviricota; Caudoviricetes
Also listed under: 2 other names
Rfam family: tRNA
About the family: Transfer RNA (tRNA) molecules are approximately 80 nucleotides in length. Their secondary structure includes four short double-helical elements and three loops (D, anti-codon, and T loops). Further hydrogen bonds mediate the characteristic L-shaped molecular structure. tRNAs have two regions of fundamental functional importance: the anti-codon, which is responsible for specific mRNA codon recognition, and the 3' end, to which the tRNAs corresponding amino acid is attached (by aminoacyl-tRNA synthetases). tRNAs cope with the degeneracy of the genetic code in two manners: having more than one tRNA (with a specific anti-codon) for a particular amino acid; and 'wobble' base-pairing, i.e. permitting non-standard base-pairing at the 3rd anti-codon position.
Source: Rfam by way of RNAcentral